UUUUUGUUACUACCGGCCUAACCGCCGGCUAUGUAUAACCCUUUGUUGUCCGACUCUGUUGCCUCCGGGGCGACCCUGCCUUCGGGCGGGGGCCCCGGGUGGACACUUCAAACUCUUGCGUAACUUUGCAGUCUGAGUAAAUUUAAUUAAUAAAUUAAAACUUUCAACAACGGAUCUCUUGGUUCUGGCAUCGAUGAAGAACGCAGCGAAAUGCGAUAAGUAAUGUGAAUUGCAGAAUUCAGUGAAUCAUCGAAUCUUUGAACGCACAUUGCGCCCCCUGGUAUUCCGGGGGGCAUGCCUGUUCGAGCGUCAUUUCACCACUCAAGCCUCGCUUGGUAUUGGGCGACGCGGUCCGCCGCGCGCCUCAAAUCGACCGGCUGGGCCUUCUGUCCCCUCAGCGUUGUGGAAACUAUUCGCUAAAGGGUGCCCGGGAGGCUACGCCGUAAAACAACCCCAUUUCUAAGGUUGACCUCGGAUCAGGUAGGGAUACCCGCUGAACUUAAGCAUAUCAAUAAGCGGAGGA
Molecule: small RNA, 523 nt
Filed under: uncultured Cladosporium
Lineage: Eukaryota; Fungi; Ascomycota; Dothideomycetes; Cladosporiales; Cladosporiaceae
Description: eukaryotic LSU rRNA
Rfam family: 5.8S ribosomal RNA (bases 159-312)
Source: RNAcentral